ACCUCCUGUGGCGUGAUGGGUCAGUGUGCCUGGCUGUUAACCAGAAGGUUGGUGGUUCGAGCCCACCCAGAGAUG
Non-coding RNA from Podarcis lilfordi (Lilford's wall lizard), 75 nucleotides. NCBI's taxonomy places the organism in Eukaryota, Metazoa, Chordata, Lepidosauria, Squamata, Lacertidae. The record is from the annotation of a GenBank genome assembly.